RNAcentral lists this ribosomal RNA (253 nucleotides) under uncultured bacterium. RNAcentral describes it as "partial 16S ribosomal RNA". It matches the Rfam family "Bacterial small subunit ribosomal RNA", at positions 524 to 776 of the family's 1533-position model. The record is from RNAcentral.
UCCGUAGGAUGCAAGCGAUGUCCGGAUUUAUUGGGUUUAAAGGGUGCGUAGGCGGCCUAUUAAGUUAGUGGUGAAAACGUUCGGCUUAACCGGAUACCCGCCAUUGAUACUGAUAGACUUGAGUGCGACAGAGGGUGUUGGAAUGUGUGGUGUAGCGGUGAAAUGCUUAGAUAUCACGCAGAACACCAAUUGCGAAGGCAGAUGCCUAUGUCGUAACUGACGAUGAGGCACGAAAGCGUGGGGAGCAAACAGG